GUGGCGGACGGGUGAGUAACGCGUGGGUAACCUGCCUUAUACAGGGGGAUAACAACCAGAAAUGGUUGCUAAUACCGCAUAAGCGCACAGGACCGCAUGGUCCGGUGUGAAAAACUCCGGUGGUAUAAGAUGGACCCGCGUUGGAUUAGCUAGUUGGCAGGGCAACGGCCUACCAAGGCGACGAUCCAUAGCCGGCCUGAGAGGGUGAACGGCCACAUUGGGACUGAGACACGGCCCAGACUCCUACGGGAGGCAGCAUG
Molecule: ribosomal RNA, 260 nt
Filed under: uncultured bacterium
Lineage: Bacteria
Description: partial 16S ribosomal RNA
Rfam family: Bacterial small subunit ribosomal RNA
Source: RNAcentral